AGGCCGUGAUGGGGACACUUGCGUAAUAGCUCCUUGAACCUUUCCCAAGUUUCAUAUAAGGAUUCCCCGUCCUCUUGUGAAUAAAUAUUAAUUUCAGUCAUUAACUU
This 107-nucleotide small nucleolar RNA is filed under the name Helianthus annuus (common sunflower). RNAcentral describes it as "Plant small nucleolar RNA R71". It matches the Rfam family "Plant small nucleolar RNA R71". Rfam says of the family: R71 is a member of the C/D box family of snoRNAs containing the C (UGAUGA) and D (CUGA) box motifs. Multiple nearly identical copies of this snoRNA have been identified in Arabidopsis, and it is thought to function as a 2'-O-ribose methylation guide for 18S ribosomal RNA. The record is from RNAcentral. Lineage: Eukaryota; Viridiplantae; Streptophyta; Magnoliopsida; Asterales; Asteraceae.